This is a long non-coding RNA of Lolium perenne, 1115 nucleotides long. RefSeq lists it as uncharacterized. NCBI's taxonomy places the organism in Eukaryota, Viridiplantae, Streptophyta, Magnoliopsida, Poales, Poaceae. The record is from RefSeq and is a predicted model, not a curated record.
UCCACCAUCACCAUUUUUGCUGAAUUUUUUCCAAAUCUGAUUGGAGCAGAUUUUUCAGUGUCCUAUGCCUCCUGAAUACUCGAGCUGGAGGUAUGGCACCUAGAAAAUAUCUUAGUUUUUGUUACAACUAUCUUAUUGAAGAAAGUUGUCCUUUACAUAGUCACCUAAUUUUUGCUGCCGAUGAAGAGAUAGUGAAGGUAACCAUCAUGUUCCUUGCUUUUUUGCAUAUGGAUUUCCUUCCCAGAUUAUAGUAAAGAUUUGCAGGAGUUCAUGAUAUAUAGUUUAACGUACAGAAUAUUUGGAUAUGCAUGUCAAGUUCUACCUUCGUUUUUACUACCCAGAUCUGAACUUGAAGUGGCAAUUUUGACCAUGAACUGUGAAAUAUUUAUCUCCAUUCGGUUGAUCUCCUUAUCAAGUAUAUUCUCACUGUAAUGUUAUUGGCUGUCUGGCUGAUGCUAAUUUGAUGAUUUUGUGUAACAAAUUGGGGAUUCUUUGGCCACAACAAAAACAUUGGAUCUAAGCGAAUUCUACUAACUUCGGUGCAGACCUAGGUAAACCACUGCAACUUGAACAAGGUUUGCGGACAAGCUUUGGUCUCUAGCUGCAUUUGGAGGUCAACACUCAAAAACAUCUGCAUACUGCAGUUUCCGCAAGCAGCAGACCUAGAUGAUCUGUUGUAGGUGCUUGAGCUACUGAUUCAUGCCACGAUUCAAUGCAGUCUCCCUUUGUAUAUCAACUUCAGUGAGAUAUACAUAUUGAGGACAAUGUGGUGCUCUUCUGUGUGGUAUUGUUUGACUCAUCGUUAAUGAAGAUGGGGCUCUUUGCGUGGAAUUUGUUGAUUUCUUUUAGACUUGUAGUACUUUCUGAUGUAAAGUGCUGUUUCUCAAGUAAAUAAAUUAGUAUCCGAUUUGCUUUUAUCUCUAAGAAUAGUUAAGGAAACACCUUUCAUAGCAUCCUUGUCUAGGAUAUAAUCUUUUUUUUUGCAUCACAAGUCUAGGAUAUAAUCAGUUGUACAAGGCAUAGGUCAUAAAAGGAAAUGACAUUUGCUAUUUUUCUCUGUAAGGUCAAGCUAUUCUGUCCUCUUGUUUUGUUAUAUAUGUGAAUCUCACACUUUA